GGAAGGCGGGUGCUAUAAUGCAAGUCGAGCGGACCGACGGGAGCUUGCUCCCUUAGGUCAGCGGCGGACGGGUGAGUAACACGUGGGUAACCUGCCUGUAAGACUGGGAUAACUCCGGGAAACCGGGGCUAAUACCGGAUGCUUGAUUGAACCGCAUGGUUCCAUUCUUAAAGGGGGGUUUUAACUUCCCCUUUCCAAAUGGACCCCCGGCCCUUUACUUAUUUGGGGAGGUACCGCUCCCCCAGGGCAACAAGCCUAACCCAACCUGAAAGGGGAUCCGGCCCCCUGGGACCUGAACCCCGGCCAAAACUCUUCCGGAAGGAGCAGUAAGGGAUCUUUCCCCAUGGGACAAAGGCCGGACGAACACCGCCCCGUAGGUGAUGAAAGGUUUUCGGAUGGAAAAUUUGUUGUAGGGAGAACAAGUACCGUUCGAUAGGCGGACCUGACGGUACCUAACAGAAGCCCGCUACUACGUGCCGCAGCCGCGUAAUAUUAGGUGGCAGCGUUGUCCGGAUUAUUGGGCGUAAACGCGCCCAGGCGUUUCUUAGUCUGAUUGAAACCCCGGCUCACCGGGGAGGGUCAUUGAACUGGGGACUUGAUGCAAAGAGAAGUGAAUUCCCGUGUACGUGAAUGCUAAGAUGCGAAGACCAGUGCGAAGGCACUUCUGGCUGUA
Molecule: ribosomal RNA, 673 nt
Filed under: Bacillus licheniformis
Lineage: Bacteria; Bacillati; Bacillota; Bacilli; Caryophanales; Bacillaceae
Description: bacterial SSU rRNA
Rfam family: Bacterial small subunit ribosomal RNA
Source: RNAcentral